ACGCUGGCGGCAGGCCUAACACAUGCAAGUCGAGCGGCAGCACAGGUACUUGUACCGGGUGGCGAGCGGCGGACGGGUGAGUAAUGCCUAGGAAUCUGCCUGGUAGUGGGGGGUAACGCUCGGAAACGGACGCUAAUACCGCAUACGUCCUACGGGAGAAAGCAGGGGACCUUCGGGCCUUGCGCUAUCAGAUGAGCCUAGGUCGGAUUAGCUAGUUGGUGGGGUAAUGGCUCACCAAGGCGACGAUCCGUAACUGGUCUGAGAGGAUGAUCAGUCACACUGGAACUGAGACACGGUCCAGACUCCUACGGGAGGCAGCAGUGGGGAAUAUUGGACAAUGGGCGAAAGCCUGAUCCAGCCACGCCGCGUGUGUGAAGAAGGUCUUCGGAUUGUAAAGCACUUUAAGUUGGGAGGAAGGGCAGUUGCCUAAUACGUAACUGUUUUGACGUUACCGACAGAAUAAGCACCGGCUAACUCUGUGCCAGCAGCCGCGGUAAUACAGAGGGUGCAAGCGUUAAUCGGAAUUACUGGGCGUAAAGCGCGCGUAGGUGGUUUGUUAAGUUGGAUGUGAAAUCCCCGGGCUCAACCUGGGAACUGCAUUCAAAACUGACUGACUAGAGUAUGGUAGAGGGUGGUGGAAUUUCCUGUGUAGCGGUGAAAUGCGUAGAUAUAGGAAGGAACACCAGUGGCGAAGGCGACCACCUGGACUGAUACUGACACUGAGGUGCGAAAGCGUGGGGAGCAAAC
RNAcentral lists this ribosomal RNA (747 nucleotides) under uncultured bacterium. RNAcentral describes it as "bacterial SSU rRNA". It matches the Rfam family "Bacterial small subunit ribosomal RNA", at positions 33 to 773 of the family's 1533-position model. The record is from RNAcentral.